Molecule: ribosomal RNA, 492 nt
Filed under: uncultured bacterium
Lineage: Bacteria
Description: partial 16S ribosomal RNA
Rfam family: Bacterial small subunit ribosomal RNA
Source: RNAcentral
AGUGAACGCUGGCGGUAGGCCUAACACAUGCAAGUCGAACGGCAGCACAGUAAGAGCUUGCUCUUACGGGUGGCGAGUGGCGGACGGGUGAGGAAUACAUCGGAAUCUACUUUUUCGUGGGGGAUAACGUAGGGAAACUUACGCUAAUACCGCAUACGACCUACGGGUGAAAGCAGGGGAUCUUCGGACCUUGCGCGAUUGAAUGAGCCGAUGUCGGAUUAGCUAGUUGGCGGGGUAAAGGCCCACCAAGGCGACGAUCCGUAGCUGGGCUGAGAGGAUGAACAGCCACACUGGGACUGAGACACGGUCCAGACUCCUACGGGAGGCAGCAGUGGGGAAUAUUGGACAAUGGGCGCAAGCCUGAUCCAGCCAUACCGCGUGGGUGAAGAAGGCCUUCGGGUUGUAAAGCCCUUUUGUGGGGAAAGAAAAGCAGCAGGUUAAUACCCCGCUGUUCUGACGGUACCCAAAGAAUAAGCACCGGCUAACUUCGUG